AUUGUAUUCCUCUUUUCCUUUAUCUAGAAAUGAAUUGGUCUUACAUAUUUGAGCCAGAAUGCUUUUUUCUCCUGUUUGAAGUUGCUUAAGAUGUGUUGAUUCUAGCCAAUUGACUCGGGGAACGAAGGUCUGUUAAGCUAGAUAGUUAGUAGGGAUCACGGUUAUACAGUUAAUACAUGCAUCAUGCUUUUAUGCUCUCUGUCUCCCCAGUUCCUCUUUUGAGGCCUUUUGUAAAAAAGAACAACUUCAGUGUUUCAAACCAAAAGUUACACUCCCUCUUUUCUAGCAUUUUAUAUGAUGGUAUUUCAUUGGUACAGAGUUCAAGAUAUUCAUUUGACUUAUAUUUUAAAUGAGCGAUUAUAAAAGAAAAUGUUAAAGUAAUGCUGAAAAGUUUAUUUGAUGGAGAAAAAAUCAUGUCUAAUUUUAAAGUUUGAAUAGUUGAAUGCAUUUGAAUAACUGAAAGUUUGUAUAGAAAUGGAAAUGGUGUCAAAACAUUUGGGAGCGUCCAAAAUGGGAAGUGUCUAGAUCUGAACCUGAAAAAGUAGUUCAUAGACAGAGCCUUGAAAGUAGCGGUAAGCUUAGGUAAUGGAGGUUCUCUCUCUGAACUGAUGCUGGAUUAACUAAAUGUUAUUUAAAUUCAACAAAUUAUUCAAGUUAGAUUUAUAGUUUUGUUAAUAAUUCGACAAGUGACUUAGAUUUAUAGUUCUGGAUUUUGUGCUAUAGGAAUGGAUAAAAGAAUCUUAUAUAUGAAUGUUAUAGCAUUGAAUAAAGGUUUAGUGAUAUUCUUUUCCUAGAUCUGAUUUUGCAGCUAUUCUAGAGUACGGAGCUUCUGCAACUAUCAUCUAUUAACUUCUAAAGGAUGUAAUUCAAUUUCUUAAUCUGACUGGUUCAAAUGUUCAAUUCCUGGAUCUCAUCAAGCACUUUUAAUGUAUUUAGUUUUCCUUGCUCUUGUACUCAGGGGAUUUUGCACUAAUCAAUAGAAUUUUCACUUUCUCCAAGGUAUAACUUUUUUUCCCCAAAUCAGGACCUGCACAUCUUUCUGCCUUGAACUUAUCAAGUCUUCUUGUAGUUUAUAAACAUCUUUGGAAAACAUAGUAGUUUUAUGUUAUAUAAUUUGUAUAAAAGCACUACACUGCUCUUGUUUUCUCUUGGCAAGUUAUUUGUAGCUUAGCCCUUUGGAAGUAAAAACUUAUACUUUGAGUUCCACCAUUUUUCUGACUGAAAGUGUUUGGUUUAUAUUCUUUGCUUGAAAUCCUUUUCAUUCUUAAGUUUCAAGCUUAACAUAUUUGCAGUUAUGCAUGCUGGAAACAAGAAUAUAAUUUCACAUAUUAUAGCAAUUAGAUCUCACAUAGAGUAAUUAUUCAUCAUUAAACUGAAUAGAUUAAUGCCUGCUUCUAGUCAGUUUGUCUCAGCAUUUGAUGAGAGGUACAAUGUAAAUGAAUAUGACAAACUCUCAACAACCUGGAGAUGACCAGACUGACCACAACUAUUGGCUGUUAUCAAAUUCAUUGAUAAUUGUUGUGGUAUACCUUUGAUCAUUUGCAGAUUUUUUAAUGCGGUUGCACAAUAGGUUACUACUGGAGGACAAGCUUUGUCUAUUUAAGUUUGAAGUUGAGAUUGAGCAACUUCAAAGAUUUGGGACAAGGAAGCCAGCUUCUAAAGCUUCUUCUGUCAAAGACCAUGUACUUAAUCUGAUUUUCUUGGUAAGAUAGCACUUUCCUAUCUCGAUUUAAGAAGCUUUUACCCCUUAUCGGAGCAAGGCAGUGCACAAGUUUAAAUUACAAAUGAUUUUCAUCUCAGGAGAAGGAUGUGGCAGCAAAAUACUGUAAAAGGAACAGCGUGGUUUUUGGUUCCUUUUAAUGUUGCAUGUCCUAUCCAAGGCCACAGCUUACUCUAGUAGUUCCACAUCAAAGCAUUUAUGUCCAUCUACUGUCGAAGCUGAUUCUUACAAGGUAAUUUUGUCCUUGAAUCUGCAAGAAUGACAGUAUCUGAGAUUGGAAAGAGUCAAAGACGCACCCAAGGGGUGUGGCCUGGGGGUCAAUGAAGUGGAGGGGAGAAUCAAGAGGUCUUAGGUUCAUAUUCCAGUGGAGGCAAAAAAUACUAGGUGAUUUCUUCUCAUAUGCCUUAGCUUUGAUGGAGAGAGUUAGGGUACAUGUGCUAGUGGGAGGUAGCAACUACCCAGUGGAAUAGUCAAGCCGCACGCAAAAUGGCUUGGACACUACUGUCAUUU
This is a non-coding RNA of Nicotiana tabacum (common tobacco), 2230 nucleotides long. The record is from RefSeq and is a predicted model, not a curated record. NCBI's taxonomy places the organism in Eukaryota, Viridiplantae, Streptophyta, Magnoliopsida, Solanales, Solanaceae.